Molecule: ribosomal RNA, 253 nt
Filed under: uncultured bacterium
Lineage: Bacteria
Description: partial 16S ribosomal RNA
Rfam family: Bacterial small subunit ribosomal RNA
Source: RNAcentral
UACGUAGGGCGCAAGCGUUGUCCGGAAUUAUUGGGCGUAAAGAGCUCGUAGGCGGUCUGUCACGUCGGCUGUGAAAACCCGGGGCUCAACCCCGGGCCUGCAGUCGAUACGGGCAGACUAGAGUGCGGUAGGGGAGACUGGAAUUCCUGGUGUAGCGGUGAAAUGCGCAGAUAUCAGGAGGAACACCGGUGGCGAAGGCGGGUCUCUGGGCCGUAACUGACGCUGAGGAGCGAAAGCGUGGGGAGCGAACAGG